UAAACAAGUCCAUGUUGUAUACAAAUGAUAUUUUACCAAGGCAGAUUUAUGUUGGAAGUGUUUUCUUUUAUUUACGCUCCCUCCCCCUAACAGAUUAAACAAGUCCAUGUUGUAUACAAAUGAUAUUUUACCAAGGCAUAUUUAUGUUGGAAGUGUUUUUUUUUCUUUACGCUCCCUCUCCCUAACAGAUUAAACAAGUCCAUGUUGUAUACAAAUGAUAUUUUACCAAGGCAUAUUUAGUUGGAAUGUUUUCUUUUAUUUACGCCUCCUCUCCCUAACAGAUUAAAAAGUCCAUGUUUAUACAAAUGAUAUGCUGUUACCAAGGCAUGUUUUAUGUUGGAAGUGUUUUCUUUUAUUUACGACCCCUCUCACCUAACGAGAUUAAACAAGUUCAUGUUGUAUACAAAUGAAUUUGACAAGCCAAUUUAUUUGGAAGUGUUUUCUUUAUUUACGCUCCCUCUCACCUAACAGAUUAAAACAAGCCAUGUUGUAACCAAAUGAUAUUUUACCAAGGCAUAUUUAUGUUGGAAGUGUUUUUCUUUUGAUUGUACGCCCUCUCCCUAACAGAUUUAAAACCCAAGUCCAUGUUUGUAUACAAAUGAUAUUUUACCAAGGCAUAUGUAUGUUGGAAGUGCUUUUCUUUAAUUUUCCCCGCUUCCCUAACAGAUUAAACAAGUCAUGUUGUAUACAAUAUUUUUACCAAGGCAUAUUUAUGUUUGAAGUGUUUCUUUUUUUACGCCCCCUCUCCCUACAGAUAAAAAACACGUCCAUGUUGUAUACAAGGAUAUUUUACCAAGGCAUAUUUAUGUUGGAAGUGUUUCUUUUAUUU
Molecule: long non-coding RNA, 829 nt
Filed under: Mytilus galloprovincialis (Mediterranean mussel)
Lineage: Eukaryota; Metazoa; Mollusca; Bivalvia; Mytilida; Mytilidae
Source: RNAcentral